RNAcentral lists this ribosomal RNA (490 nucleotides) under uncultured bacterium. RNAcentral's name for it is "partial 16S ribosomal RNA". It matches the Rfam family "Bacterial small subunit ribosomal RNA", at positions 30 to 507 of the family's 1533-position model. The record is from RNAcentral.
AUUGAACGCUGGCGGCAGGCCUAACACAUGCAAGUCGAACGGUAACAGGAAGAAGCUUGCUUCUUUGCUGACGAGUGGCGGACGGGUGAGUAAUGUCUGGGAAACUGCCUGAUGGAGGGGGAUAACUACUGGAAACGGUAGCUAAUACCGCAUAACGUCGCAAGACCAAAGAGGGGGACCUUCGGGCCUCUUGCCAUCGGAUGUGCCCAGAUGGGAUUAGCUAGUAGGUGGGGUAACGGCUCACCUAGGCGACGAUCCCUAGCUGGUCUGAGAGGAUGACCAGCCACACUGGAACUGAGACACGGUCCAGACUCCUACGGGAGGCAGCAGUGGGGAAUAUUGCACAAUGGGCGCAAGCCUGAUGCAGCCAUGCCGCGUGUAUGAAGAAGGCCUUCGGGUUGUAAAGUACUUUCAGCGGGGAGGAAGGGAGUAAAGUUAAUACCUUUGCUCAUUGACGUUACCCGCAGAAGAAGCACCGGCUAACUCUGUG